GUUUUAUAAGAAAGUUGAGUGAAACGUGAAGUACAGAACAGAAAAUUGUUUUCUGGUAUAAAUAUCUAUAGAUCAAUGAUUUAUUGAAUCAAACAGGGGACACAUUCAGCUUGCGAUACGAAACAAUUCAUUUUCAACGCGCUGAUCGCGAGAUGGUUAGCUCAAAGCUGCCGUUGUUAUUCAAUAUGCAAUUUCUUAUUUAAAUCGCGAGAAGAAGGCGGAGAGUAAAUACAAUCGUGAUUUGCAGCUAAGAACCGUUCUCGUGUAACAUGUUUCGCGAGCAACGCUGACCUCGGGACACGCGAGGAAAACGUCCAACUGAGAAUGACAUUACCUAGUAAGUUUCUCCUGCUCGGACCUAGUCGCUAUAAUUUGACCCUUUGUACGACCGAUGCCCGGCGAUACCGAACCACUUCCGGCUACUAUCCAAUCAACAUCAGGACCUGAGAAAAGUGUAAUCAAAUAUUGAAUAAAGCCUGAAGAUAGCGGAAA
Megalopta genalis is the source of this 492-nucleotide non-coding RNA. The record is from RefSeq and is a predicted model, not a curated record. NCBI's taxonomy places the organism in Eukaryota, Metazoa, Arthropoda, Insecta, Hymenoptera, Halictidae.